RNAcentral lists this long non-coding RNA (23782 nucleotides) under Triticum aestivum (bread wheat). The record is from RNAcentral. Lineage: Eukaryota; Viridiplantae; Streptophyta; Magnoliopsida; Poales; Poaceae.
AGACGAGCCGUUUAAAUAGGUGUCAAGUGGAAGUGCAGUGAUGUAUGUAGCUAAGGCAUCCUAACGAACGAACGAUUUGAACCUUGUUCCUACACGGCCUGAUCAAAUCGACUAGGCACUUUCCAUCUAUCUUCAUUGUUCAACUCUUUGAUAAAAAGAUGAAAAAACCAAAAAAAGCUCUGCACUUCCAUCACUUGGAUAGAUAGAGAGGGAGGGCAGAGGCCUUUGGUGUCCCUUUCAGUCAAGAAUUGGGGUUUCACAAUUACUAGCCCAUAUUUAUCUCAUGCCUUUCAUCGUUCAUGAUUCGAUAUUCUGGUGUCCUAGGCGUAGAGGAACCACACCAAUCCAUCCCGAAUUUGGUGGUUAAACUCUACUGCGGUGACAAUACUGUAGGGGAGGUCCUGCGGCAAAAUAGCUCGAUGCCAGAAUGAUAAAAAGUUUAACACCUCUUAUUUGACUUUUUCACUAUUUUCAAAUAAGAAAAAGAUCCAAAUCUAAAAUGGAAAGGUCGUCUUAUUCAAAACCUCAAUCAUCACAUCCCCUCUCUCCCACUUCACACCUCGGAACGCACUGUUCUUAUAGAGAGAAAGGCGCUUUCCCAUCUUCUUAACCUGAAAUGAAGGGGUACCCCCGGGAAGAGAUCCAGUGGAGACAACUGGGCCUGUAGCUCAGAGGAUUAGAGCACGUGGCUACGAACCAUAGUGUCGGGGGUUCGAAUCCCUCCUCGCCCACAGCCUUCCAAAGGGGAAAGGGUCUUUACUUUCCCCCUGAGGGUAGGAAAAUCAUGAUCGGGAUAGCGAACGUAAAGCUAUUGAACUUAGGUAUGCUCUUUCCUUUUGUCGAAGUGGAAUCAUAGAACAGAAUGUGAUACGAUGAGAUAGAAUGCAAUAGAAAUAGAAACAAGGAUAGCGAACGGGUUACCUACUCCUAAGGGUCAAAGCAAGUCCUUUAAUUCCAUUCUUUAUUCUUACAUUAAAGAAUGAAUAAAAUCUCCCCAAGUAGGAUUCGAACCUACGACCAGUUAGUUUACAACUGACCGCUCUACCACUGAGCUACUGAUGAACAAGGGGGGAUUCGACCUCCUAGAGUUCAACUCCCUCUCUCAACCCAUGAACAAUAUGAGUCCGAAGCUUCUUUCGUAACUCCCAUAAUUUCUUCGUAGUGGCUCCGUUCCAUGCCUCAUUUCAUAGGGAAGCCCAAAGUGGCUCUAUUUCAUUCUAUUUCACUUCCUAGAACUUCCUAUCAUUUAAUAUCCAUCCCUUUGGUCUUAUUGACAUAAGAGAUGUCAUUUAUAGUCUAUCUCUUUCUAUAUAUGGAAAGUCAAGAAAUUCUCAUCGAAACAUCGAGAAAUUGUGCAUAUAGAAAACUCUAAAGAAAGAAAAAAAGGAGACCCAUGCCAUGAUUUUCAAAUCUUUUCUAUUUAGUAGUAUAAGUUUCUUGAUGGGGAUAAUUAAUUCGGUCAUUUUUGUCGGACUCUAUUAUGGAUUUCUGUCUACAUUCUCCAUAGGUCCCUCUUAGAUCUUCUUUCUCCAAUCUUGGAUUAGGGAAGAAGGAGAUAUUCGCGACUACUGGCGAUUUCAUUAUGGGGCAGCUCAUUAUCUUCAUAUCGAUCUAUUAUCCACCUAUGUAUCUAUUCUUUCUUAGCUAAAAGGGUGGAAGAUCUAUCCAAUUUUGUUAUAUUAUAUCAUGGACUCGAAAAACGGAUCUGAAUUUGACAGAAAUGCAUGAUCUUCACAUGUAUCACUUUUCACGAUACCUAAAAGGUGGAAUAGCGAUUUUUGAACCAUUUCCUAUAAGAGAAUGGUUCCCAUUACUUUGAGAAAUUGAUUCUUAUAUCAAACUAUAGCUAUUGCAUUAAAGAAGAAAAGAAACUAAUAGAAGUCGAAGACGCUGAAUGAUAGUGAAUAGAGAGAAAGAUUCUUCUGAUUUUCUUGUUUCUAUCUACUAGAUGCCAUAGAGAAUUGAGAAUUUUCAUGUCUUUCAAUUCUGGUACUCAUAAUUGGAAAGUUAUGGAAGGAGACCCAUCAUUUUGCAAUGAAAACAACAUAUAAAACACUUGAAAAUUUCGAAAUCAGGCCAAGCGUCUUAAUACAUAUGCAAAUAAAUUCAUUAUUGGCCCACCAUUGAUUAGAAAAUUUAGCUUGUGUGAAUCGCUAUUGGUUUGAUACGAAUAAUGACAAUCGUUUUAGUAUGUUAAGGAUACAGAUGUAUCCACAAUUCAUUUAGAGUUACUUAAUAGUCUAUUUCUUAUACCAUAUCUCUAUCUCGUGAAAUUCUCGAUCCAAAAGAUGGAUGCAUAUGUUGUGUUUCAUUUUCCUAAAUGAUAUCAAUUAAAUGGUGUAUUAAUUCCAUAAAUUGCAUAUAGCAAUAAAUAAAUCAGCAAAAUUCUUUCUAAUAUUUUGGAUAGAAGAAAUUUCUUCUAUCUAAAAUAUUAGAAAGAAUGUACCCUUCUAUCCAAAUCCAAUUUGCAUCGAUAAAAUAAAUCCAAAUUCCAGUAGUAGAUGAAUAAUUGGAAAUUUGUGUGUGUACGAGAUUAGAAUAACUCCAAAAUAUAUGACAUAAUUUUGUAUAUUUCCUGAUUAGAAAAAUACAUGAAAAAGAAAGGAGGUAGAAUUUUUUUUAGAUUUAUGGUUAAAGAAGAAAAAGAAGAAAACAGGGGUUCUGUUGAAUUUCAAGUAUUGAGUUUCACCAAUAAGAUAUGGAGACUUGCUUCACAUUUGGAAUUACACAAAAAACAUUUUUCAUCAAGAAGAGAUCUAAGAAGACUUUUGGGAAAACGUCGACGUUUGUUGGCUUAUUUGGCGAAGAAAAAUACAGUACGCUAUAAGAAAUUAAUCGGUCAGUUGAAUAUUCAGGAGCAGUAAGUUAAUCAUUCAAAUUGUUUUCUUGUUUUAUUAUUUUUUAGUAGUCUUAUAGUAGUCUUAUAUUUUUCAUUUUGUUGAGCCUCGCUUUGAGGAAUUCAUGGAAUAAUGAAUUAAGGAAGAAACGAUAUGAGUCUACCGCUUACAAGAAAAGGUCUCAUGAUAGUCAAUAUGGGCCCUCAACACCCAUCAAUGCAUGGUGUCCUUCAACUGAUCGUUACUCUCGAUGGUGAGGAAUGGAAAAAAAUCACGGAAAACCGAACUAUUAUACAAUACUUACCUUAUGUAACUAGGUGGGAUUUUUAGCUACUAUGUUUACAGAAGCAAUAAUAGUAAAUGCACCAGAAUUCUUGGAGAAUAUUCAAUUACCACAAAGAGCCAUCUAUAUUAGGGUAAUUAUGUUAGAAUUAAGCCGGAUAGCUUCUCACUUGCUAUGGCUUGGACCUUUUAUGGUGGAUCUCGACGCACAAACUCCUUUUUUCUAUAUUUUUAGAGAGAGAGAAUUAAUAUAUGAUCUAUUUGAAGCUGCUACAGGUAUGCGAAUGAUGCACAAUUGCUUUCGCAUCGGAGGAGUAGCUGCCGAUCUACCUUAUGGAUGGAUCGAUAAAUGUUUAGAUUUUUGUGAUUAUUUUUUACGCGGAGUUGUUGAAUAUGAACAACUUAUUACACAGAAUCCAAUUUUUUUAGAGCGAGUUGAAGGAGUAGGUUUUAUAGCGGAGAAGAAGCAAUAAAUUGGGUCUUAUCGGGACCGAUGUUACGAGCUUCUAGAAUACAGUGGGAUCUUUGUAAAGUAGAUCCUUAUGAGUCUAACAACCAAUUAGAUUGGAAAGUCCAAUGGCAAAAGGAUGGGAUUCGUUAGCUCGCUAUUUAGUACGAAUUUGUGAAAUGAGGGAAUCCAUCAAAAUAAUUCAACAAUCUGUAGAAACUUUCCUGGAGGACCUUAUGAGAAUUUAUAAGUCCAACGCUUCAAGAAAGAAAAUAAUUCUGAAUGGAAUGAUUUUGAGUAUAAAUUUCUUGGUAAAAAACCUUCGGCCAAUUUUGAAUUGUCAAGACAAGAGCUUUAUGUAAGAGUAGAAGCCCCAAAAGGUGAAUUAGGGAUUUAUCUGGUAGGAGAUGACAGCCUUUUCCCCUGGAGAUGGAAAAUCCAUCCACCCGGGUUUAUUAAUUUGCAAAUUCUUCCUUAGCUAGUUGAAAAAAUGAAAUUGGCUGAUAUCAUGACGAUAUUAUGUAGUAUAGAUAUCAUUAUGGGGGAAGUUGAUCGUUGAAAUGAUAAUAGAUAGGGUAGAGGUAGAAACUAUCAAUUCUUUUUCGAAAUUGGAAUUAUUUAAAGAAGUCUAUGGACUGAUAUCGAUUCUACCCAUUUUGACCCUCCUUUUGGGAAUAACAAUAGAGGUACUCGUAAUUGUGUGGUUAGAAAGAGAAAUAUCUGCGUCGAUACAACAACGUAUUGGUCCUGAAUAUGCUGGGCCCCUGGGCCUUCUUCAAUCUAUAGCAGAUGGGACUAAGCUACUUUUUAAAGAAGGUAUUCUGCCAUCCCGAGGAGAUAUUUCUUUAUUUAGCAUUGGACCCUCUAUAGCAUUCAUAUCAGUUUUAUUAAGUUUUUAGUUAUCCCUUUGGGAUAUCAUUCUGUUUUAGCCAAUCUUAGUAUUGGUGUUUUUUAUGGAUUGCCAUUUCAAGUAUAGCUCCUAUUGGUCUUCUUAUGGCAGGAUAUAGCUCAAGUAAUAAAUAUUCUUUUUCAGGCGGUCUACGAGCUGCUGCUCAAUCCAUUACUUAUGAAAUACCAUUAACUUUUUGUGUGCUAGCAAUAUCCCUACGUGUGAUUCGCUAAAAUAGAUCUUUUUCCUAUAAAAUCCAUUAACUAUUUAUAUUCCUUUUCUUAUUUAGUAUUUGGGUUGGUAAGUUAAACUAGAUAGCUAUAUGAGUGAAACAAAAAAGCUUAUAAAUUUGUAGUAAAAAGAAAAAAAAUCUCAUUUCCUACGUACAAGAAAAUAGUGGAAGUAAACAUAAGCAGUGUAAACUCUUUAUCCCAAGGUUGAUAUUUUUUUUAAUUAGUCAUCAUAUCUAGAAGCGGCCAAGAAUAAAGGAUUCACGAUAUGGAAUUCGAUUACUAGAAUACUCCUAGUUAUUACUAUAACUUAAUAAUCCAUAAGAAGAAUCCACUAAAAGUUAGUGAAGGGUUAGGAACACUAAAGUACAUAAAGGAUUAGUAAUGGAAAAUCUAAAACAUUAGAGAUUUUUGCCCAUAAAAGGAAUCAUAAUAAGGACUUGUAAUUUGUAGAAAUUAUCAAGUAGUACUUUCUUCAGAUUCCGAUCCAGAGUAUGUUCCCAUUCACUUGUUAAGGAAAUGGCUAUCACGAAAGAAUUAACCCUUUAUCCAUUUUUCUUUUUAAAUACCCCCUCCCUGGAGAAAGAAGAAUAGUAAAAAUGAUAUGGAGUGCACUAGAAAAAAGUCAUUAUUUCCUUCCUCUAUCCAUAUUCAUGCAGAAUUGCUCAUGAACUAAUACCCAACUCUUUCCAUUUAUUAAUUGAAUUCCUAUAACAAGUAACAAUUGUUUUAUUCCAAGAUUAAGUUAUUACUGAACAAAGAAUUUUUUUAAUUAUAUUAUAAAGGAUGAGAUCAAUUCAGAAGUGCUUUUUCUUAUUCUAGCAGACGGAAUUCCUUUGGUCUAAUUUAGGACAUUCAAAUCUAUUUUAUUUUAUCUAAUUCUAUCUAUGCUCCAGGGGCUAGGAACAAAACAGUCCUUUCCUCUAUCUGAUCAUAGAGAAGCCGUAUGAAGCUAAGGUUUCAUGUACGGUUUUGAAAUAGUGGUGGGAACUGUGAUUUUAUCGUCGACUAUGAUUAUCUAACAGUUCAAGUACAGUUGAUAUAGUUGAAGCACAGUCAAAAUAUGGUUUUUGGAUGGAAUAUUUGGUGUCAGCCUAUAGGUUUUCUGGUUUUUUUAAUUUCUUAUUUGGCAGAAUGUGAAAGAUUACCCUUUGAUUUACUAGAAGCAGAGGAAGAAUUAGUAGCAGGUUACCAAACUGAAUAUUCCGGUAUCAAAUAUGGUUUAUUUUAUCUUAUUUCUUACCUAAAUUUAUUAGUUUCUUCUUUAUUUGUAACAGUUCUCUACUUGGGCGGGUGGAAUUUAUCUAUUCCCUAUAUACCCUUUUUUAAAUUUUUUUCCAAAUGAAUAAAGGAGUUGGAAUUUUGGAAAUGACAAUGGGUAUAUUUAUUACAUUAACUAAAGCUUAUUUAUUUCUCUUCAUUUCUAUCACAAUAAGAUGGACUUUACCAAGGAUGAGAAUGGAUCAGUUAUUAAAUCUUGGAUGGAAAUUUCUUUUACCUAUUUCCCUGGGCAAUCUCUUAUUAACAACCUCUUCUCAACUUGUUUCACUAUAAAUAAGAUAAUACAAUAAUAGUAAGAAUAUUUUCAACACAAAAGCUCUCUCAAACAAGAGAAAGAAACAUAUCUUUUUCAUAGAUAUUUAGAAUGAAUAUGUUCCCUAUGGUACCUGGGUUCAUGAGUUAUGGUCAACAAACAAUGCGUGCUACAAGGUACAUAGGUCAAAGUAUCAUAACUACCUUAUCCCACACAAAUCGUUUACCUAUAAUGAUUCACUACCCUUAUGAAAAAUCAAUUACACCAGAGCGUUUUCGAGGGUGAAUCCACUUUAACUUUGAUAAAUGUAUUGCUUGUGAAGUAUGUGUUCGCGUAUGUCCGAUAGAUUUACCCGUUGUGGAUUGGAGAUUUGAAAAGGAUAUUAAAAGAAAACAAUUUCUUAAUUAUAGUAUUGAUUUCGGAGUUUGUAUAUUUUGUGGCAAUUGUGUUGAGUAUUGUCCAACAAGCUGUUUAUCAAUGACUGAAGAAUAUGAAAUUUCUACCUAUGAUAGUCAUGAAUUGAAUUACAACCAAAUUUCUUUAAGUCAGCUACCAAUCUCAUUAAUGGGAGAUUACACAAUUCAAACAAUUAGGAAUUCGUCUGAAAGUAAAAUAAACAAAGAAAAAUCUUUGAAUUCAAGAACGAUUACUGAUUGCUAAACUUUGAUUUUGUCUUUUUGUUAUAAAAAUAUAAUAAUUCUUUAUUAAACUUUAAAAUUAAACUAUAAAGAAAAACGAAAAACUAAUGCUUAUUGGAAAUUAUUUCUUAUUUUAAAUUAGACUAGAUUUUCGUGAUAUAAUAUAAUUUAUAACUAUACAGUUUAUACACCAAAAAAUACCCUAAUCCUUUUUUCCUUCCUUGAAUCCUUUAGUUUUAGUCAGCUCAUGAAAAAUUUUAUACUAUUAAUUUCUUUAUAUCCAUAAUGGAUUUACUUGGACCAAUACAGGAGAUUCUUAUGCUAUUUGGGGGAUUUGUUCUUCUACUAUGGGGUAUAGGAGUAGUAUUACUUACCAACCCCAUUUAUUCUUCCUUUUCGCUGGGAUUAGUUCUUGUUUGUAUAUCCUUAUUCUAUGUUUUAUUAAAUUCCAACUUUGUAGCUGUCGCACAACUUCUUAUUUAUGUGGGAGCCAUAAAUGUCUUGAUCAUAUUCGCUGUAAUGUUCGUAAAUGGCUCAUAAUGGUCUAAAGAUAAGAAUUAUUGGACUAUUGGAGAUGUGUUCACUUCACUCGUUUGUAUAACUAUUGUUUUUUCACUAAUGACUACUAUCCAAGAUACGUCGUGGUAUGGAAUUCUUUGGACUACAAGAUCAAACCAACUAGUAGAACAGGGUCUCAUAAAUAAUGUUCAACAAAUUGGAAUUCAUUUAGCAACUGCUUUUUAUCUUCCGUUUGAACUCAUUUACAUAAUUCUUCUAGUUUCUUUAAUAGGUGCAAUUACUUUGGCUCGGCAAUAAGAAAACUUAGAAAAAGUACAAAUUAUAAGAAUUGCAAAUCUAAAAUAAAUAACUAAAGAAUCACAAUUUUGAUUUAGUAAAAUCCAUCUACUGCCAACAAAUACCUCCUUUAUUUUCUCUUUUGUUGUGUAAUUGUUCUAUUGUAAUUAAUUGGAUCGGUUCAAUUCUUGCCCUCAUAUUGAAAUGAAUCGAGAUUGAUAAGGUGUUAGCUAAUGAUGUUUGAACAUGUACUUUUUUGAAUGUCUAUUUUUUCGAUUGGUAUCUAUGGAUUGAUCACAAGCCGAAACAUGGUUAGAGCUCUAAUAUGUCUUGAACUUAUACUGAAUUCAAUUAAUCUAUAUCUCGUAACAUUUUCUGAUCUGUUUGAUAGUCGCCAAUUGAAAGGAGAAAUUUUCUCAAUUUUUGUUAUAGCCCUUGCGGCUGCUGAAGACGCUAUUGGACUAUCCAUUCUUUCUUCCAUCCAUCAUAAUAGGAAAUCCACUCGUAUCAAUCAAUCUAAUUUAUUGAAUAAUUAGACAUAGAAUCCUCUAAAGAAAGGCGCAUGUAUUAACAUAAAUAGAAAUCAAUACUAUUUUCUUAGUAUUAUUUGAGAAUAUCCAUUUUUAGUAGAUUAUUGCAUAGUAUUCUUUUUCACUUAAAUGAUUUUUUGUAUUUUUAAUUCAUGGAUAUUGCAAUUUGAAUAUUGCAAUAAUUUAUAUUGAAAAGACGAUACACAAUUUAUUGGCUAAUUCGAAUUCGUCUGUACAAUUCGUAAAAUUCUUUCUUAUUUCUUAUUGUUGAAAUCCAAAAUUAAAGUCUCUUGGCUCUCUUCACGCUUUAUCACAAACAGAUUAAAAAAUAGUUUUUUAUUUUUGAAGUUUGGAUAAACCAUUGCUUCGUAUGGUGUCUACAAUACAGAUGACUCAUUAUAGUACUAAUUUCAUUUUUAGCAGAUCGAAAAAUUUUAUGUUGAAAAGAAAAAUUUAUAGAUCCGAUGUCAUAUUCCAUAAAAAUUUAUGAUACAUGUAUAGGAUGUACUCAAUGUGUACGAGCUUGUCCAACAUAUGUAUUAGAAAUGAUACCCUAGGAUGGAUGUAAAGCCAAGCAAAUUGCUUCCGUGUCGAGAACCGAAGAUUGUGUUGGUUGUAAGACAUGUGAAUCUGCCUGCCCGACAGAAUUUUUAAGUGUACGCAUUUUUUAGGGCCUGAAAUAACACGUAGCAUGGCUCUAUCUUAUUGAUACGUUACAAAAAACUUCACUCUAAUCGUCUGAUUCCUCUUUACCGAAGAAGCAUGUGCUCGAAAUAAUCGAGCACGGGCUUUUCUGGUCAAAACGUAUCUUGUCUUUAUCACUUUAUCAUGAGUUAUUUUCCUUGGUUAACAAUACUUGUUGUUUUGCCGAUAUUUGCAGGUUCAUUAAUUUUCUUUUUACCUCAUAAGGGAAACAAAUUCAUUAGGUGGUAUACUAUAUCUAUUUGUUUAUUAGAAUUCCUUCUAAUGACUUAUGUGUUCUGUUAUCAUUUCCAACUGGAGGAUCCCUUAACCCAAUUAAAGGAGGAUUAUAAAUGGAUAGAUGUCUUCGAUUUCCACUGGAGACUGGGAAUCGAUGGACUUUCAUUAGGAUCUAUUUUAUUGACAGGAUUUAUCACUACUUUAGCUACUUUAGCAGCUUGGCCAAUUACACGGAAUUCGCGAUUAUUCUAUUUCCUGAUGCUCGCAAUGUAUAGUGGUCAAAUAGGAUUAUUUUCUUCGUGAGACCUUUUACUUUUUUAUCAUGUGGGAGUUAGAAUUAAUUCCUGUUUACUUAGUUUUAUCNNNNNNNNNNNNNNNNNNNNNNNNNNNNNNNNNNNNNNNNNNNNNNNNNNNNNNNNNNNNNNNNNNNNNNNNNNNNNNNNNNNNNNNNNNNNNNNNNNNNNNNNNNNNNNNNNNNNNNNNNNNNNNNNNNNNNNNNNNNNNNNNNNNNNNNNNNNNNNNNNNNNNNNNNNNNNNNNNNNNNNNNNNNNNNNNNNNNNNNNNNNNNNNNNNNNNNNNNNNNNNNNNNNNNNNNNNNNNNNNNNNNNNNNNNNNNNNNNNNNNNNNNNNNNNNNNNNNAGGCGUCUAUAUUCAGCUACAAAGUUUAUUUUGUAUACUGCAGGCGGUUCCAUUUUUUCCUUAAUCAGAGUUCUGGGUAUGGGCUUAUAUGGUUCGAAUGAACCAGGAUUAGAUUUGGAAAGAUUAAUUAAUCAAUCAUACCAUGCAACCUUGGAAAUACUUUUAUACUUUGGCUUCCUUAUUGCUUAUGCUGUCAAAUUGCCGAUUAUACCCCUACAUACGUGGUUACCAGAUACCCAUGGGGAAGCACAUUAUAGUACAUGUAUGCUUUUAGCGGGAAUAUUAUUGAAGAUGGGACCAUAUGGAUUGAUUCGGAUCAACAUGGAAUUGUUACCUCAUGCUCAUUAUCUAUUUUCGCCCUGGUUAGUAAUAAUAGGAGUGAUCCAAAUAAUCUAUGCAGCUUCAACUUCUCUUGGUCAACGAAAUUUCCAAAAAAGAAUAGCUUAUUCCUCUGUAUCUCACAUGGGUUUCAUAAUUAUAGGAAUUGGUUCCAUAACCAACAUUGGACUCAAUGGAGCUAUUUUACAAAUAUUAUCCCAUGGAUUUAUUGGUGCUACACUUUUUUUCUUGGCAGGAACCGCUUCUGAUAGAAUGCGUCUUGUUUAUCUCGAAGAACUAGGGGGAAUAUCUAUCCCAAUGCCUAAAAAUUUUACCAUGUUUAGUAGAUUUUCAAUGGCUUCUCUUGCCUUACCAGGAAUGAGUGGUUUUGUCACAAAAUUAGUAGUAUUUUUUGGACUAAUUACUAGUCCAAAAUUUCUGUUAAUCCCAAAAACACUAAUUACUUUUGUAAUGGCAAUUGGAAUGAUAUUAACUCCUAUUUAUUUAUUAUCUAUGUUACGCUAGAUGUUCUAUGGAUACAAGCUAUUUAAUGUUCCAAACACAAAUUUUGUGGAUUCUGGACCACGAGCUCUUUAUUUUAAUCUGUAUCUUUUUACCAGUAAUAGGAAUUGGUAUUUAUCCAGAUUUUGUUCUCUCCCUAUCCGUUGACAGGGUAGAGGCUCUCUUAUCCAAUUAUUAUCCUAAAUAGAUUUGCUUUGUUUUACUCGUCUUCUCUAUUAAUGCAGAAAUAAGUAAAAAAGUAUAAUUAGAUCCAUCUCGAAUUUUUGAGAACCCUUUGAGAAGGCGUUCAAGGGGUUCUCAAAUAAAACAUAAAAGUAAAAACCUUCAUUUCAUGAAGGUUUUAUUUUUAUGUAAUCAUUUAGGUGUUAAUGUAAACGAACCAAAACUAUGUAGCCUAUUCCUAAUAGAUUUAUACCAAAAUAAAAAAUCGAAAUUAUAAGAAAUCCUAUCGAAGCUAUAAGUGUAGAAUUCAUACCUUUCCAAUGUGGAUUUGUUCUACUAUGUAAAUAAAUUGCGAAUAUGGUCCAAGUAAUAAAUGCCCAAGUUUCCUUAGGAUCCCAAUUCCAAUAGGAUCCAGAGGCCUCAUUAGCCCAUACUGCUCCACAAAGAAUACCUACGGUUAAAAGGGUAAAUCCUAGGCUAAUGACACGAUAACUCCAAGAAUCCAAACGCUCUGUUAAUUGAUAUUUGUAAUAAUUUGGAAAUGAAGGGACAGAGGUUCUUUUUAAAGCACUUCUUUUUGCAUAAAAAUAUUUAAUAUCACUAAAGAAAAUGUUUUAUUUAAAACAUUUUUUCUUUUUAGAAAAUAAAUGGAAAUUAUUUCGAAAUCUAAUGAUUAGAAUAACGGCAGAUAAUAAGGACCUGCACAAAAGAGUUGCAUAGCUUAAUAACAUCAUACUGACAUGCAUCAUUAACCACUGAGAUUGUAGAGCAGGUACUAGUACCGUAGAUUGAUGCAUUUCAGUUAAAAGGCCCGAUGUGGCAAAGCAUUGCGUUAAAAUAGUACUUGGCGUAGUUAUUGUGCUUAAAUCAUUUUUAGAGUUAUGUAUUUUAGGAAUGGUAUGAAGAAUAUACAGGGCCCAUGAAAGGAAGAUCAAUGACUCAUACAAAUUACUUAAUGGAAAAUGUCCCGAGGAAGCCCAACGAGAAACUAAGAAUCCUAUUAUAGAGAAAAAAGUAACUAUCAUUCCUUUUUUUGAUGAAUCACGUAAUCCUCCAAGUUCAUGAACUAAUAAGGUUAUAAAAUGAAUCGUACUCAUAAUUGAAAUCGUUGAGAAAGAGAUAUGAGUUAGGAUAUGUUCUAAAGUUGCAAAUAGCAUAAGGGGAAGGUCCCAUUACGAAAUUGUAAAUUUUGAAUUGAUUUCUAAUCUAUUGUAUUGUUUUUCAAGAAUGCCGCCACUCGGAUUCGAACCAAGAUGCUUGAGCACUGCUUCCUAAGAGCAGCGUGUCUACCAAUUUCACCAUGGCGGCUAACUUCAAAUAAUAGGUAACUUAAAAGAAUAAUAACUAUUAUCUUGGGAAUCAUCGAUAUUGGGAAAGUCCAUAAAAUUUAGGAACAUUAGAGUUUUCAUUAAAGUAGACUUCGUUUGGUAGUAUCGUUUCCAUUUUUUUUACAAUAAGCUCUUGCUUUUCCCAAUAGAAACACAAACACUGCUUGAAAGAGUUGGAACUUCUUUUCUCUAACAUGCAAUUAUAGAACUAAUUUUUUCUAAUUAAUUUAUCGUUUACAUUUUGAAAAUUCUUUCAAUGCAAUGAAAAAAAUCCCAAAGGGUUUCUAUUUAAUGAUGAAACUAAAAGGAUAAAUAUAAAAGGCUUUUUCGGAUUUUUUUUUAAACUUUAUAGAAUGAAAGUCUUUAUGCUCUUAUUAAUAAGAUUUACUAACCUUAUGAUUUUGGAGAAGAUAGGUGGAAGUUGUAGGUCCUAUUGUAAGAAUACUCCACUUUUCAUAAUUUUCAUAAUAGAAUAUGAGGAUUCUAUUAUGAAAAUUAUGGAAAGUUCAUUGAUAGGAAAAGAAUACUUAGCACACAGUAUACCAAACACAACUUUUUUUCUUAUAUAUAUAAGAUAAGAGGGGUUUUUUGUUCUAAGAAUAUUGUACCGAGUAAUUCGACACAUAAAAGUACAUUCAAAGAAGAAUCGAAAUUAUUAAAUAAUUGGAAUUCUUUUUUGAUAAGUCAAUUCAUAUUAUUCCAAAAUUUUAUGAUUUGUUUGUUGCCCAAAAAACCCUUUGGUUUUGGAUGCUCAUUACCGCUCGAAAAUGAUCUUGAUUUUACUUAAGAAUAAGAUUGUACUAUGGAAAAAUAAGUGUUUUUCUUCCAGAUAUUUUUAUGAAUACGCUUUUUUGACAUUGAAGUACGUUUUUUUGGACCUGCCAUUCAAAAAGGAAAUUACUUUUUUCUAGUUGUAUGUGAAAUACAUCUAUUGCUGGAAAUCAAUCCUUCUUUCUUCUUUUUAUUAGUAUUUAUACUUAGAUAUUGAAAGAUAGUUAAAUUUAGAAUUACUUUUUACUUCAUUUUGUCUAAUGCGGAUAAGACAACAAUAAUUUUUUAACAUUUUUUCUUUAUAUAUUUUGUACUAGUUUUUAAUAAUAUAUAAUAUAUAGAAGGGUUUCUCAUUUAAAUCUAACUUCAUAUAUAGAUAUAUGGUAUGGAAGCCUAUCCCCCAUAUAAGAUAAGACGGGGGGAUAAAAAGAAGGGAAAAUGAAAAUAGUUAAUUAAGUUCAGAAUGGUAAUCCAUAGCGGAAAGGAAUUCCAAUCAAAACAAAAAAUACUGAGUCUCUUAAACAAGACAUUCUAAAACUUAGGUAAUUUAUAGUCAUUAGGAUAAUUUCUUAUAAACAUAGGGUUUCAUUGGAAUUCACUCAAUCAGUUAAUUAUGGAACAAGAGAGCUGUUUCACCUUUGUUUUAAAGAAAUAUAAAAAUAAAUUAUGAAUAGAAAGUAAAAUGAUUCCAAUUUUUUUAUUUUUAUAAAUAUCUUUAUUUAGUUAAUAAAAUAACUACGUAACGAAGUUAUUUUAUUAACUUUUUUAAUUUAACCAACUAAACCCAUUCUUAAUUUUUAAUUGUUACAAUGAGAUAAAUUUUGGAAAAAUUAAGAAUUUCAGUAUUUUUUCUUAUUCUUUUUAUUUAUUCUUUCAGAAAGAGAUAAGAAUUGGUUUGGUGAAUUCGAAACAAUUUUAUAGAAAAAUUGAAGUAAAAAUUGAAGUAAAAGUUGCAAUUUCUUUUCUUAUGGAACAUACAUAUCAAUAUGCAUGGGUAAUUCCUAUUCUCCCACUUCCAGUUAUUAUGUCAAUGGGAUUUGGUCUUAUUCUUAUUCCGACAGCAACAAAAAAUCUUCAUCGCAUAAGGGAUUUCCCUAGUGUUUUACUCUUAAGUAUAGCUAUGGCAUUCUCAGUUCAACUGUCUAUUCAACAAAUAAAUGGAAGUUCGAUCUAUCAAUAUCUAUGGUCUUGGACCAUCAAUAAUGAUUUUUCAUUAGAAUUUGGAUACUUGAUUGACCCACUUACUUCUAUUAUGUUAAUACUAAUUACUACUUAGGAAUCCUGGUACUUAUUUAUAGUGAUGGUUAUAUGUCUCAGGAUGAAGGAUAUUUGAGAUUUUUUGUUUAUAUAAGUUUUUUCAAUACUUCCAUGUUGGGAUUGGUUACUAGCUCCAAUUUGAUACAAAAAAUUUUUGCGAACUCGUGGGAAUGUGUUCUUAUUUAUUGAUAGGCUUUUGGUGUAACUAAUUGUGUAGGCGAUUUUGGUCUAUUAUUAGGAAUUUUAGGGUUUUUUUGGAUAACAGGUAGUUUAGAGUUUAGGGAUUUGUUCAAAAUAGCUAAAAACUGGAUUCCUAAUAAUGGAAUUAAUUCUUUACUUACUACUUUGUGUGCUUUUUUAUUAUUCCUUGGUGUAGUUGCGAAAUCCGCACAAUUCCCUCUUCAUGUAUGGUUACCUAAUGCUAUGGAAGCGCCCACUCCUAUUUCGGCUCUUAUACACGCAGCAACUAUGGUUACUGCGGGAAUUUUUCUUAUAGCUCGACUUCUUCCUCUUUUCAUAUCUUUACCUUUGAUAAUGAGUUUUAUUUCUUUAGUAGGUACAAUAACACUAUUCUUAGGAGCUACUUUAGCUCUUGCUCAGAGAGAUAUUAAAAUAAGCUUAGCCUAUUCUACAAUGUCUCAAUUGGGUUAUAUGAUGUUAGCUCUAGGUACAGGUUCUUAUCAAGCUGCUUUAUUCCAUUUGAUCACUCAUGCUUAUUCAAAAGCUUUAUUGUUCUUGGGAUCCGGAUCUGUUAUUCAUUCAAUGGAACCUCUUGUUGGAUAUUCACCAGAUAGAAGUCAAAAUAUGGUUCUUAUGCGCGGUUUAAGAAAAUACAUUCCAAUCACAAGAACUACUUUUUUAUGGGGUACACUUUCUCUUUGUGGUAUUCCACCUGUUGCUUGCUUCUGGUCCAAAGAUGAAAUCCUUAGUAAUAGUUGGUUGUAUUCGCCCUUUUUUUGGAAUAAUAGCCUCCUUUACUCCAGGAUUAACUGCCUUUCAUAUCUUUAGGAUAUAUUUACUUACAUUUGAUGGGUAUUUGCGUGUUCAUUUUCAAAAUUACAGUAGCACUAAAGAGAGUUCCAUGUAUUCAAUAUCCUUAUGGGGUAAAAGGAUACCCAAAGGAGUGAAUAGGGAUUUUGUUUUAUCAACAACGAAGAGUGGAGUUUCUUUUUUUUCACAAAAUAUACCAAAAAUUCAAGGUAAUGCAAGAAAUAGGAUAGGAUCCUUUACUACGUCUUUUGGGGCUAAAAACACUUUUUCCUAUCCGCAUCAAACGGGAAAUACUAUGUUAUUUCCUCUUCUUAUAUUACUACUUUUCACUUUGUUCAUUGGAUUCAUAGGAAUCUCUUUUGAUAAUGGAGGAAUUGAUAAUGAAAUAGCAGAGUUAACCAUAUUAUCAAAGUGGUUAGCUCCCUCAAUAAACUUUACCCAGGAAAGUUCUAAUUUUUUUGUAAAUUCAUAUGAAUUUAUUACUAAUGCAAUUUCUUCUGUAAGUCUAGCUAUCUUUGGUUUACUCAUAGCAUAUAUCUUCUAUGGAUCUGCUUAUUCUUUUUUUCAGAAUUUGGAUUUAAUAAACUCUUUUUACAAAGGAAAUCCUAAAAAGAAUUUUUAGAUCAAGUAAAAAAUAUACAGUUGGUCAUACAAUCGUGGUUAUAUAGAAAUUUUCUAUACUAGGGUCUUUACCCUCGGUAUAAGAGGGUUAACCGAAGUCACAGAGUUUUUUGAUAAGGGUGUUAUUGAUGGAAUUACCAAUGGAGUGGGUCUUUCUAGUUUUUGUAUAGGAGAGGAAAUUUGUGACAUCCCCGAUUCAAUCGUACACUAAUCAUACACGCAAACAUGUAUGAUCAAGAUCAGGGACUCACGGGAAGAUAUCACAACACAACUCUACAAAUAAAUAAGUCAUACAAGCAUCAUAUUACAAGCCAGGGCCACGAAGGCUCGAAUACAAGAGCUCAAUCAUAGACGAGUCAGCGGAAGCAACAAUAUCUGAGUACAGACAUAAGUUAAACAAGUUUGCCUUAAGAAGGCUAGCACAAACUGGGAUACAGAUCGAAAGAGGUGCAGGCCUCCUGCCUGGGAUCCUCCUAAACUACUCCUGGUCGUCGUCAGCGGGCUGCACGUAGUAGUAGGCACCCCCAGUGUAGUAGAAGUCGUCGUCGACGGUGGCGUCUAGAUCCUGGGCUCCAACAUCUGGUUGCGACAACCAGGUAGAAGGGAAAGGGGGAAAAGGGAGAGAAAAGCAACCGUGAGUACUCAUCCAAAGUACUCGCAAGCAAGGAGCUACACUACAUAUGCAUGGGUAUAUGUGUAAAGGGGCUAUAUCGGUGGACUGAACUGCAGAAUGCCAGAAUAAGAGGGAGAUAGCUAAUCCUGUCGAAAACUACGCUUCUGGCAGCCUCCGUCUUGCAGCAUGUAGAAGAGAAUAGACUGAAGUCCUCCAAGUAGCAUCGCAUAGCAUAAUCCUACCAGGCGAUCCUCUCCUCGUCGCCCUGUUAGAGAGCGAUCACCGGUUGUAUCUGGCACUUGGAAGUGUGUGUUUUAUUAAGUAUCCGGUUCUAGUUGUCAUAAGAUCAAGGUACAACUCCAAGUCGUCCUGUUACUGAAGAUCACGGCUAUUCGAAUAGAUUAACUUCCCUGCAGGGGUGCACCACAUAACCCAACACGCUCGAUCCCAUUUGGCCGGACACACUUUCCUAGGUCAUGCCCGGCCUCGGAAGAUCAACACGUCGCAGCCCUACCUAGGCACAACAGAGUGGUCAGCAUGCCGGUCUAAAUCCUAUGGCGCAGGGGUCUGGGCCCAUCGCCCAUUGUACACCUGCAUGUUGCGAGGGCGGUCGGAAGCAGACCUAGCCUAGCAGGCGUUCCAGUCCAAUCCGGCGCGCGCCGCUCAGUCGCUGAUGUCACGAAGGCUUCGGCUGAUACCACGACGUCGAGUGCCCAUAACUGUCCCCGCGUAGAUGGUUAGUGCAUAUAGGCCAGUAGCCAGACUCAGAUCAAAUACUAAGAUCUCGUUAAAUGUGUUAUCUUAAAAUAACCGCGAACGCCGACCAGGGCCAGGACCACCUCUCUCCUAGGUGGUCUCAACCUGCCCUGUCACUUCGCCACAAAGAUCCACUCAGAGGGCCAUCAGGACAAACGUCCUUUCAGACCCAAUCCGUGAAUCACUCGCGGGUACUCCUACGAGCCGACCCACCUUUAGUCACCACAAGUAUCAUAUAUUAUGUAUAAGUAUAUACCCGUGAUCACCUCCUGAGUGACCACGGCCCGAUAGUAUAGCAUGGCAGAUAGACAAGAAUGUAUGGCCACUGAUGAUAAACUAGCAUCCUAUACUAAGCAUUAGGAUUGCAGGUAAAGGUAACAAUAGUAGUAGCAAGGACAUGCUAUGCAUCAGGAUAGGAUUGACGGAAAGCAGUAACAUGCUACACUCCUCUAAUGCAAGCAGUAUAGAGGAGAGUAGGCAAUAUCUAGUGAUCAAAGGGGGGCUUGCCUGGUUGCUCUGGCAAGAGAGAGGGGUCGUCAACUCCGUAGUUGUACUAGGUAGCAGCGGCGUCGGUCUCGGUGUCUAGCGAGAGAAGACGGGGGAGAAACAAUAAAUAUAAUGCAAACAAAUGCAUGACGAUGCAUGACAUGGCAAAGCGUAAAGCUAGGUGUGCCCUAACGUGGUACGAGGUGGUACUGGUGAAGGGGGGAAACAUCGGGGAAAUUAUCCCCGGUGUUUUGCGUUUUUGGACAGAUGAACCGGAGGGGGAAAGUUGCGUGUUUGCUAUGCUAGGGAUGCAUGGCAGAUGAACGGGCAGCGUAUCCGGAUUCGUCUCGUCGUUUCGAGCAACUUUCAUGUACAAAGUUUUUUCAACCGAGCUACAGAUUAAAAGAUAUGAUUUUCUAAAGAUUUUAUUAAUUUUUGAAAUUAUUUUUAAUUCAAAAAUAAUUGCUAAAUUGCUAGGCGCAGCCAGCACAGUGUACACAAAAGUGUACCUAGUGACUGACAGGUAGGCCAGAGGGACCCAGUUGACCAGUCAACGUUUGACUGGUCAACAGGGGUGGGACCCCCUGUCAUUGACUGUUUUAGUUAAUUAGGGUUUAGGUUAAUUAGUUUAAAUAGUCAGGCUUAAUUAGUUGUUUUAGUUUAAUUAAUCAAAAUUAAAUACUUUAAUUAAUUCUUUAAUUAAUUAAUUAAGUUUAAUUAAGUCAAUUAAUUACUUAAUUAUUUAAUUAAGUCAAUUAAUUACUUAAUUAUUUAAUUAUUAAUUUUAUUUAUUUAUUUUUUAAAUCCCUUUUUUUGUUAAAACGUUCUGGGGCUGGGGCCCGUUUGUCAGUGGGACAAAGGCCUAUCGGGGCGGGUACGAUUGCUGGGGCGUUACAGGCGCACGACCCGUAUGAGGCCCAAGCGGGCGACGGCGCGUCGCCGGAGGUGGCUGCAGCCACUGUGGAGCGAGGCAGCAAUGGUGCAGUGGGUCCGAGCGGGACGAAGGACGACGAGGGCGCACCCUGGGCGUAGGUGGAGCAGCAGCAGCGGCCGGACGGGCGACAACAAACGCAGCGCGGAGGGGCAGUGCGGGCGCGCGUGGGUGCAGCGAGCGGGUGGCUGGCGGCAUCGAGGGGGGCUACAGCACGGGCGCGGAGGGGAGAGCAGCACAGCGGGCGCAGCGGCUCACUAAGGAGUAGGGGUGCGGCCAUGCGCCGGGCGCGGGCGUCGGGCACAUGCAGACGAACCCGCAGCCAGAGUGCGAGGCGAGGCCACCGGGCGCUGCGGGCGGGCAGAGCCCGGGGGGCGCGGCCGGAGGCAGGUGCUGAGGGCGGCGGCCGGGGAAAGGCGGCACGGCAGAGGCGAAAGCGGGAGGNNNNNNNNNNNNNNNNNNNNNNNNNNNNNNNNNNNNNNNNNNNNNNNNNNNNNNNNNNNNNNNNNNNNNNNNNNNNNNNNNNNNNNNNNNNNNNNNNNNNNNNNNNNNNNNNNNNNNNNNNNNNNNNNNNNNNNNNNNNNNNNNNNNNNNNNNNNNNNNNNNNNNNNNNNNNNNNNNNNNNNNNNNNNNNNNNNNNNNNNNNNNNNNNNNNNNNNNNNNNNNNNNNNNNNNNNNNNNNNNNNNNNNNNNNNNNNNNNNNNNNNNNNNNNNNNNNNNNNNNNNNNNNNNNNNNNNNNNNNNNNNNNNNNNNNNNNNNNNNNNNNNNNNNNNNNNNNNNNNNNNNNNNNNNNNNNNNNNNNNNNNNNNNNNNNNNNNNNNNNNNNNNNNNNNNNNNNNNNNNNNNNNNNNNNNNNNNNNNNNNNNNNNNNNNNNNNNNNNNNNNNNNGUGGGGCGACGAGGUGGGUUAGGGUUUGGGGGAGGGAGUGGAUAAGGGAGUGGAGGCGCGGGGUGGGCCGGCCCAUUCGGGCGGCUGGGGGCCCGCGUGGAAGGCCAGCUGGGCCAAAAGGCCCAGUGGGGGGGGGCUUUUCUUUCUGUUUGUAUUUCUUUUCUGUUUUCUGUUUUGCAUUUUCUUUUAUUUUCUUUUCUGUUUUAUUUCAUCUUAAAUUAUUUAGGCAUUUUAUAAAAAUGUGUUUGCUUUAUUAUAAUUACCCAGGCAUUUAACUGCACACCCCGAACAUUUUAAUUUAAUAUUUUGAAAACUUUGUCGCUUGACAUUAAUUUGAAUUUGGAUUUGAAAAGGUUUCGAAUCAUUGCGAGUUUAGCAACAGUAACCGAGGUGUCAUGGAAUGAUCAGCGUGGGAUUACUGUAGCAUGAUUAUCCGGGCAUUACAAAAUUAAAUAUGUAGGGGGGGGGUCGAAUCUCGUCUUAUUUAUUCUUUUUUCAUGUUAUGUAUCUGUGUUUUUAUUCUUUUUUCUUUCUUAAGUUAAGGAAUUUACAACAAGUCUCUUGCAAAAAUAACUAUCCUAUCCCUUUUCUACAAUCUCUCUAUAUCCUUGUUACAUAAGGUAGGUAUUGUAUAGUAGUUCGGUUUUCCUCGAUUUUUUUCCAUUCCUCUGUGUAAAUAUCCUAAUAUGGGUUCACAAUCAAUAACAUCCUGACCAUCGAGCGUAAUGAUCGGUCGAAGAAUACCAUGCAUUCAUGGGUGUUGAGGGUCCACAUUGACUAUCAUGAGAUCUUUUCUUGUAAGCGGUAGACUAAUAUCCUUUCUUCCUUAAUUCAUUAUUCCAUGAAAAUGGAUUAUUCCAUGAAUUCCUCAAAGUGAGGCUCAUCAAAAUGAAAAAUCUAAGACUACUAAAAGAAUAAUAAAACAAGAAAAAAAUUUGAACGAUUAACUUACUGCUCCCGAAUAUUCAAUUGACCGAUUAAUUUCUUAUAACGUACUCUAUUUUUCUUUGCCAAAUAAGCCAGCAAACGUCGACAUUUUGCCAAAAGUCUUCGUAGACCUCUUUCCGAUGAAAAAACUUUUUUGUGUAAUUCCAAAUGUGAAGCAAGUCUCCGUAUCUUAUUGGUGAAACUGAAUACUUGAAAUUCAACAUAACCCAUGUUUUCUUCUUUUUCUUCUUUAACCAUAAAUCCAAAAAAAAAAUUCUACCUCCUUUCUUUUUCAUGUAUUUUUUUAUCAGGAAAAAUACAAAAUUAUGUCAGAUAUUUUGAAGUUAUUCUAAUCUGGUACGCACACAAAUUUGCAAUUAUUCAUCUACUACUAGAAUUUGGAUUUAUUUUAUCGAUGCAAAUUGGAUUUGGAUAGAAGGGUACAUUCUUUCUAAUAUUUUAGAUAGAAGAAAUGUUUCUUCUAUCUAAAAGAUUAGAAAGAAUUUUGCUGAUUUAUUUAUUGCUAUAUGCAAUUUAUGGAAUUGAUACACCAUUUAAUUGAUACUCCCUCCAUUCCACAAUGUAGUGCUUCCUCUAUCCACGUGCUUCAACUUUGACUGUAUAUUUAACUAUCAAGACCGAUUGCGGCGGGAGCAAAAAUUAUAUCAGUGAAUUCGUAUUUGAAAGAAGUUUUCAAUUAUAUAAUUUUUUCUCUUGCCGCAGUUGGUCUCGUUGGUUAAAUUUAUGGUCAAAGUUUAACCUUGGGAAGCGCGGGUGCACUAUAUUUUGGAAUGGAGGGAGUAUCAUUUAGCAAAAUGAAACACAACAUAUGCAUCCAUCUUUUGGCUCGAGAAUUUCACGGGAUAGAGUUAUGGUAUAAGAAAUAGACUAUUAAGUAACUCUAAAUGAAUUGUGGAUACAUCUGUAUCCUUAACAUACUGAAACGAUUGCCAUUAUUCAUAUCAAACCAAUAGCGAUUCAUACAAGCUAAAUCUUCUAAUCAAUGGUGGCCCAAUAAUGAAUUUUUUUUGCAUAUGUAUUAAGACGCUUGGCCUGAUUUCGAAAUUGUUCAGAGUUUUAUAUGUUGUUUUCAUUGCAAAAUUACGGGUCUCCUUCAUAACUUUGCAAUUACGAGUACGAGAAUUGAAAGACAUGAAAAUUCUCAAUUCUCCACGGCGUCUAGUAGAUAGAAACAAGAAAAUCAGAAGAAUCUUUCUCUCUAUUCACUAUCAUUCCGCGUCUUCGACUUCUAUUAGUUUCUUUUCUUCUUUAAUGCAAUAGCUAUAGUUUGAUAUAAGAAUCCAUUUCUCAAAGUAAUGGAAACCAUUCUCUUAUGGGAAAUGGUUCGAAAAUCGCUAUUCCACCUUUUAGGUAUUGUGAAAAGUGAUAGCUGUGAAGAUCGUGUAUUUCAGUCAAAUUCAGAUCCAUUUUUCGAGUCCAUGAUAUAAUAUAACCAAAUUGGAUAGAUCUUCCACCUGUUUAGCUAAGAAAGAAUAGAUACAGAAGUGGAUAAUAUAUCGAUAUGAAGAUUGGAAUCGCCAGUAGUCACGAAUAUCUCCUUCUUCCCUAAUCCAAGAUUGGAGAAAGAAGAUCUAAGAGGGACCUAUGGAGAAUGUAGUCAGAAAUCCAUCAUAGAGUCCGACCACAACGACCGAAUUAAUUAUCCUCAUCGACAAACUUAGACUACUAAAUAGAAAAGAUUUGAAAAUCAUGGCAUGGGUCUCCUUUUUUUCUUUCUUUAGAGUUUUCUAUAUGCACAAUUUCUCGAUGUUUCGAUGAGAAUUUCUUGACUUUCCAUAUAUAGAAGGAGAUAGACUAUAAAUGACAUCUCUGAUGUCAAUAAGACCAAAGGGAUGGAUAUUAAAUGAUAGGAAGUGCUAGGAAGUGAAAUAUAAUGAAAUAGAGCCACUUUGGGCUUCCCUAUGAAAUGAGGCAUGGAACGGAGCCACCACGAAGAAAUUAUGGGAGUUACGAAAGAAGCUUCGGACACAUAUUGUUCAUAGGUUGAGAGCGGGAGUUGAACUCUAGGAGGUCGAAUCCCCCCUUGUUCCUCAGUAGCUUAGUGGUAUAGCGGUCGGUUGUUAUCUGACUGGUCGUAGGUUCGAAUCCUACUUGGGGGAUUUUAUUCAUUCUUUAAUGUAAGAAUUUUAAUGUAAGAAUAAAGAAUUGAAUUAAAUGGCUUGCUUUGACCCUUAGGAGAAGGUAACCCUUCCGCUAUCCUUGUUUCUAUUUCUAUUGCAUUCUAUCUCAUCAUAUCACAUUCUGUUCUACGAUUCCACUUCGACAAAAGGAAAGAGCAUACCUAAGUUCAAUAGCUUUGCGUCCGCUAUCCUGAUCAUGAUUUUCCUACCCUCAGGGGGAAAGUAAAUGCCCUUCCCCCUUUGGAAGGCUCUGGGCGAGGAGGGAUUCGAACCCCCGACACCAUGGUUCGUAGCCACGUGCUCUAAUCCUCUGAGCUACAGGCCCAGCUGUCUCCAUUGGAUCUCUUCCCGGGGGUACCCCUUCAUUUCAGGUUAAGAAGAUGGGAAAGUGCCUUUCUCUCUAUAAGAAUAGUGUGUUCCGAGGUGUGAAGUGGGAGAGAGGGUAUGUGAUGAUUGAGGUUUUGAAUAAGACGACCUUUGCAUUUUAGAUUUGGAUCUUUUUCUUAUUUCAAAAUAGUGAAAAAGUCAAAUAAGAGGUGUUAAGAUUUUUAUCAUUCUGGCAUCGAGCUAUUUUGCCGCAGGGCCUCCCCUACAGUAUCGUCACCGCAGUAGAGUUUAACCACCAAAUUCGGGAUGGAUUGGUGUGGUUCCUCUACGCCUAGGACACCAGAAUAUCGAACCAUGAACGAGGAAAGGCAUGAGAUAAAUAUUGGAUAGUAAUUGUGAAGCCCCAAUUCUUGACUAAAAGGGACACCAAAGGCCUCUACCCUCCCUCUCCAUCUAUACAAGUGAUGGAAGGGUAGAGCUUUUUUUUGGUUUUUUCUUCUUUUCAUCAAAGAGUUGAACAAUGAAGAUAGAUGGCAAGUGCCUGAUCGAUUUGAUCAGGCCAUGUAGGAACAAGGUUCAAAUUGUUUGUUUGUUAGGAUGCCUCAGCUGCAUACAUCACUGCACUUCCACUUGACACCUAUUUAAACAGCUCAUCUCGCCGCUACCUUAUCCUAUUUCCAUACUUCUGUCGCUCCAUCCCCGUAUGGGUCGAGAACCCGUCACUGUCUCAGCUGUAAUACCGGAUGCUCUAGGGAAGUUGGAGGAGAGAGCACUCAUCUUGGGGUGGGCUUACUACUUAUAUGCUUUCAGCAGUUAUCCUCUCCGCACUUGGCUACCCAGCGUUUACCGUAGGCACGAUAACUGGUACACCAGAUGUGCGUCCUUCCCGGUCCUCUCAUACUAGGGAAAGGUCCUCUCAAUGCUCUAACACCCACACCGUAUAUGGACCGAACUGUCUCACGACGUUCUAAACCCAGCUCACGUACCGCAUUAAUGGGCA